AUUGAACGCUGGCGGCAUGCUUUACACAUGCAAGUCGAACGGUAACAGGCCUUCGGGUGCUGACGAGUGGCGAACGGGUGAGUAAUGCAUCGGAACGUGCCCAGAGGUGGGGGAUAACGCAGCGAAAGCUGUGCUAAUACCGCAUGUGAUCUGAGGAUGAAAGCGGGGGACCAGGCAGCAAUGGUUGGCCUGGUGCCUUUGGAGCGGCCGAUGUCCGAUUAGGUAGUUGGGGGGGUAAAGACCUACCUAGCGAACGAUCUGUAGCUGGUCUGGGAGGACGGCCGCCCACCCUGGGGCUGGACCACGCCCCAGACUCCUACGGGAGGGCCCAGUCGGGAACUGUGGACAACGGGCGGAAGCCUUGCCCAGCGAUGCCCCGUCUGGGGAAGAGGCCCUCGGGGUGUAAACACCUUUUGCAGGGAACGAACAGGCUCUGGCUAAUACCUAGGGAUGAUGACGGUACCGUAAGAAUAAGCACCGGCUAACUACGUG
RNAcentral lists this ribosomal RNA (492 nucleotides) under uncultured bacterium. RNAcentral describes it as "partial 16S ribosomal RNA". It matches the Rfam family "Bacterial small subunit ribosomal RNA", at positions 28 to 507 of the family's 1533-position model. The record is from RNAcentral.